This 253-nucleotide ribosomal RNA is filed under the name uncultured bacterium. Its description in RNAcentral is "partial 16S ribosomal RNA". It matches the Rfam family "Bacterial small subunit ribosomal RNA", at positions 524 to 776 of the family's 1533-position model. The record is from RNAcentral.
UACGGAGGGUGCAAGCGUUAUCCGGAUUUACUGGGUUUAAAGGGUGCGUAGGUGGGUCUGUAAGUCAGUGGUGAAAUCUCCGAGCUUAACUCGGAAACUGCCAUUGAUACUAUAGGUCUUGAAUUAUCUGGAGGUAAGCGGAAUAUGUCAUGUAGCGGUGAAAUGCUUAGAUAUGACAUAGAACACCAAUUGCGAAGGCAGCUGGCUACACAAAUAUUGACGCUGAGGCACGAAAGCGUGGGGAUCAAACAGG